GUGCGCUUCCCCCCCAGCCCCCUGCCUUGCUUCCCCGGGGAAAUGUGUGAUUUGUUUUGGUUUCCAAACCACUUCAUCCCGUUUCUCUUCCCUUAUCGCUGGUUUUCCGCAUCAAGACCCUCAUCUGCGAGGCACGGGGUGCCUGACUUCACGUUGCCUUCCUAAAUGUGCCCGGGAGCGCAGCCGGCACCCCGGCGGGAUGGGAAACUGGGGGAGCUCCGGCGCUUCCCACACAUCCCUCCCGUCGGACGCGGAAUCCUUCGGUUGCUGCUCCGCCACCGACUCGGACCCACUAGGAAGAAUUAUUCCACAGUAUCAGUCUGCCCGGUUUUUCACAGAGCUAACAAGGGAGCAUGCACAUGUGGCUAACUGCUACCAACUUUGGGCUGCCUUCUACUAGCACCCCAAAACCCCUCAAUUCCCCUUACCUCAGCCUCGAGGGAAUCAGGGCCAGGGGUCUCUGCAGUGGGCAGAUGGUAUGUGAGGGAGGGAUGGAGAGGUGCAGUUCACAGUCAGAGCUGUGGCACAGCUGGAAUAAACUGCAUUUGUCAGGAUUGUAGGAAAAAACUGGGGUGGAAGGGACUUCAGGAGAUACUUUGUAAUUUUUAAAAGUAUCUCUGUUAUUUAGAUACUUGUCGUUUCAAGUAAUCUAAACCCCCUAGACAUUAAGUUGUACUGAGAAUCAAUGGCAUGCAAGCUGUGAGAUGCUUGAAUUCACAGCAGUGAAAGGGAUGUUGGUUCUUCACACUCCUCCUCCUCCCCUUCCUCCCAUGGUAUGUCAAUCUAGCAGCCAUUAGCACUAUGUAGGGUGAGGAGAAGGAGCUUCUAUUGACCUCGUGUAAGUCCAUGAUCCAAGACAAGCUCUGCCUGAUGACUAAUUUCCUCUUUCUGCUGUGGCCAGGCUGCCCCAGAGCAGACAUUGCAAGGAUUUUCUUCAAGUGGAGAAAGCAGAGGUUGUGGAGAAAGUACUGGAGAAGAUGUGCCGAGUCCUGGUUCAGCACCGUAUCUGUGACAGCGGUGCUGCCUCCUCCGUUACCUCCCGUGUCCCAAGUGUCACUGUGGUUUGAUUUUCCUUUCCAGGAGGACUUUAGCUGGAUCAAGAGGCUGUGUCACUGGGCACCACAGCACAACAGUGCAAGGGCAGCUGCCAGGUCAGGAGACAUCAGAAGAGCACAGAUAAUUGCUCCCCGAGGGGCCGGGCAGAGAGCGAGGAGCAGAGACUGAUAAUCCGGGAGGACAUGGAUACAAAUAUCAGGCUGCUGCGCUGAGUGCCUGCUUAAUUUAUUGGGAACGAGCUGUUACUCAGCACUUUGCAGGAUUAGACCCGCUGUAAUUCUGUUAUUUAAGGAGAGGCAGAGCCGAACCACAACAACAACCCACCCGGGGCCGCUGUGGAGACGGGCGGCGCUGGAGAGGAGCACAUGCUGGUUUAUUUUUUACGCUAUGGAAAGAAUGAGCUUUUAGGACACAAAGUCCUGGCGAGGGGGAGGUGGGAGGGGAGUGAGGGGACAGCCUGGCUCCGUGCUGGCCGCCCCAGCCCAGGGCUGCUGCUGGCAGCCGCUGGUGCCGGACAGGUGGGGACAGCGCCCAGGUGACAACCGGGACCACCAGCAGUGCCCGCUGGCUCCUGCUUGGAACGCAGAGUGUUAUGUUGAUUGUAUCUCAUCGUGUAGUGAACCAGCACCCCUCUGGUGGGCUGUUCUUAUCUAGGACUUCACCAAAAAAAUGAGAAUUCAGCCCCCUUCCGUCUUGAAGUUUUCCUUGGGCUCUCUCUGCAUCCUCGAAAUCGGCGUAAAUUACCCAGCAGGAUGCCAAGAGGCUUGAACAGAGUAAAGAAAGGUGCCUUCUCUUUGUCUUCUCUGUCUUGGCCUGGUGGACCUCUUCUUUCAUACUGUAUUUGGUACAAUUAUCUGAAUUUUCACUAGCCAGUGAAAAACCCCCACCUUCUGGGAAACCAAAGGCCUGGAAAGAAAUGUUUAGACUUUCUGGCCCAAUUGGAAGUUGGAGUGACAUUAAAAUACAGUGGCCUUUUCUGCAGAAGGUUUCUCUCUGAGGAAAAUAAAUGUAUUUAUCUGAUUGUCUAUUAAAGCA
Molecule: long non-coding RNA, 2091 nt
Organism: Parus major (Great Tit)
Lineage: Eukaryota; Metazoa; Chordata; Aves; Passeriformes; Paridae
Source: Ensembl